GACGAACGCUGGCGGCGUGCUUAACACAUGCAAGUCGAACGGUGAACGAGGGAGCUUGCUCCCUCCGGAUCAGUGGCGAACGGGUGAGUAACACGUGAGCAAUCUGCCCCGAACUCUGGGAUAAGCGUUGGAAACGACGUCUAAUACCGGAUACGACGCGGGAGGGCAUCCUCUCCGCGUGGAAAGAACUUCGGUUCGGGAUGAGCUCGCGGCCUAUCAGCUUGUUGGUGAGGUAACGGCUCACCAAGGGUACGACGGGUAGCCGGCCUGAGAGGGUGACCGGCCACACUGGGACUGAGACACGGCCCAGACUCCUACGGGAGGCAGCAGUGGGGAAUAUUGCACAAUGGGCGCAAGCCUGAUGCAGCAACGCCGCGUGAGGGACGACGGCCUUCGGGUUGUAAACCUCUUUUAGCAGGGAAGAAGCGAAAGUGACGGUACCUGCAGAAAAAGCACCGGCUAACUACGUG
This 470-nucleotide ribosomal RNA is filed under the name uncultured bacterium. RNAcentral's name for it is "partial 16S ribosomal RNA". It matches the Rfam family "Bacterial small subunit ribosomal RNA", at positions 28 to 507 of the family's 1533-position model. The record is from RNAcentral.